This 506-nucleotide ribosomal RNA is filed under the name uncultured bacterium. RNAcentral's name for it is "partial 16S ribosomal RNA". It matches the Rfam family "Bacterial small subunit ribosomal RNA", at positions 29 to 523 of the family's 1533-position model. The record is from RNAcentral.
AGUGAACGCUGGCGGUAGGCCUAACACAUGCAAGUCGAACGGCAGCACAGGAGAGCUUGCUCUCUGGGUGGCGAGUGGCGGACGGGUGAGGAAUACAUCGGAAUCUACUCUGUCGUGGGGGAUAACGUAGGGAAACUUACGCUAAUACCGCAUACGACCUACGGGUGAAAGCAGGGGACCUUCGGGCCUUGUGCGAUUGAAUGAGCCGAUGUCGGAUUAGCUAGUUGGCGGGGUAAAGGCCCACCAAGGCGACGAUCCGUAGCUGGUCUGAGAGGAUGAUCAGGCACACUGGAACUGAGACACGGUCCAGACUCCUACGGGAGGCAGCAGUGGGGAAUAUUGGACAAUGGGCGCAAGCCUGAUCCAGCCAUACCGCGUGGGUGAAGAAGGCCUUCGGGUUGUAAAGCCCUUUUGUUGGGAAAGAAAUCCAGCUGGCUAAUACCCGGUUGGGAUGACGGUACCCAAAGAAUAAGCACCGGCUAACUUCGUGCCAGCCGCCGCAGUAA